This 173-nucleotide non-coding RNA is filed under the name Palpitomonas bilix. The record is from RNAcentral.
UUCUUUCUUCUCCUCUUUUUUUUUUACCCACCCCCCUUUUUUUCUUUUUCUCUUUCUCUUUCUUUUUCUUCACGUGCGAGGGAGCUUUCGGAUGGUAUGCACGCGGAAACAAUGGAAAUCCAAACUUUUUUUCCUUUUCCCCAUAUGUUUCAAACGAAAAAUGAAAAAAAAAU